CGGCAGGCCUAAUACAUGCAAGUCGAACGAGAUUAAGAGGCUUGCUUCUUAUGAAAGUGGCGCACGGGUGCGUAACGCGUAUGCAACCUACCUUAAUCAGGGGGAUAGCCCGAAGAAAUUCGGAUUAAGACCGCAUAAAAACACAGGAUAGCAUUAUCCAAUGUUCAAAUAUUUAUAGGAUUAAGAUGGGCAUGCGUGUCAUUAGCUAGUUGGCGGGGUAACGGCCCACCAAGGCGACGAUGACUAGGGGAUCUGAGAGGAUGACCCCCCACACUGGUACUGAGACACGGACCAGACUCCUACGGGAGGCAGCAGUAAGGAAUAUUGGUCAAUGGAGGGAACUCUGAACCAGCCAUGCCGCGUGCAGGAAGACAGCCCUCUGGGUCGUAAACUGCUUUUAUUCGGGAAUAAACCUACUUACGUGUAAGUAGCUGAAUGUACCGAAGGAAUAAGGAUCGGCUAACUCCGUGCCAGCAGCCGCGGUAAUACGGAGGAUCCAAGCGUUAUCCGGAUUUAUUGGGUUUAAAGGGUGCGUAGGCGGCUUAUUAAGUCAGGGGUGAAAGACGGUGGCUCAACCAUCGCAGUGCCCUUGAUACUGAUGAGCUUGAAUACACUAGAGGUAGGCGGAAUGUGACAAGUAGCGGUGAAAUGCAUAGAUAUGUCACAGAACACCGAUUGCGAAGGCAGCUUACUAUGGUGUUAUUGACGCUGAGGCACGAAAGCGUGGGGAUCAAACAGGAUUAGAUACCCUGGUAGUCCACGCCCUAAACGAUGAAUACUCGCUGUUAGCGAUAUACAGUUAGCGGCUAAGCGAAAGCGUUAAGUAUUCCACCUGGGGAGUACG
Molecule: ribosomal RNA, 844 nt
Filed under: rhizosphere soil bacterium BEM-880
Lineage: Bacteria
Description: bacterial SSU rRNA
Rfam family: Bacterial small subunit ribosomal RNA
Source: RNAcentral